Molecule: ribosomal RNA, 459 nt
Filed under: uncultured bacterium
Lineage: Bacteria
Description: partial 16S ribosomal RNA
Rfam family: Bacterial small subunit ribosomal RNA
Source: RNAcentral
CUACGGGACGCUGCAGUGAGGAAUAUUGGUCAAUGGGCGCAAGCCUGAACCAGCCAUCCCGCGUGGAGGAAGACGGCCCUAUGGGUUGUAAACUUCUUUUCAAGGGGAAGAAUUGUCCCGACGUGUCGGGGCUUGCCGGUACCUUUGGAAUAAGCAUCGGCUAACUCCGUGCCAGCAGCCGCGGUAAUACGGAGGAUGCGAGCGUUAUCCGGAUUUAUUGGGUUUAAAGGGUGUGUAGGCGGAUCGGUAAGGCGGCGGUGAAAUGCCAUGGCUCAACUAUGGAAUUGCCGUUGAUACUGUCGGUCUUGAAUAUGGUCAAGGUAGGCGGAAUGUGUAAUGUAGCGGUGAAAUGCUUAGAUAUUACACAGAACACCGAUUGCGAAGGCAGCUUGCUGGGCCAGAAUUGACGCUGAGGCACGAAAGCGAGGGGAUCGAACAGGAUUAGAUACCCUCGUAGUC